RNAcentral lists this long non-coding RNA (342 nucleotides) under Rattus norvegicus (Norway rat). Its description in RNAcentral is "long non-coding RNA NONRATT017918". Lineage: Eukaryota; Metazoa; Chordata; Mammalia; Rodentia; Muridae. The record is from RNAcentral.
GGGUGGCCAGAGAGGCUUUGCAUCUCCAGACUCUGCUUCCACAGCUGUGGCCGAGGACUCAGGCCUCUGUGGGACAGGAAAUCCCCCUCUCUGACUAGCGCCUGGAUCUGCCCCCAGGAGUGGACAGCGUGGUGAGAGAGGAGGUGUACAAGCUGCAGGCCCGGGUUGAUGUAUUAGAACAGAAACUGCAGCUGGUGCUGGCCCCACUGCACAGCCUGGCCUCUCGGUCCCCGGAGCAUGGGCUGCAAGAUCCUGGCAGCCUGCUGGCCCACUCCUUCCAGCAGCUGGACCGGAUUGACUCACUGAGCGAGCAGGUCUCCUUCCUGGAGGAACAGCUGGGGU